AGCAACUUGGUUAUAUCACUGCACUUGCUCAGAGGAACGAUUCUGGCAUUUACGGUGUACAGUUCAUUAUCCAGUCCUCAGUUAAGGGCCCUGGACAUAUUGAUUCGAGGGUGGAGUCAUUACUGAAGAACUUUGA
Camelina sativa (false flax) is the source of this 136-nucleotide non-coding RNA. The record is from RefSeq and is a predicted model, not a curated record. NCBI's taxonomy places the organism in Eukaryota, Viridiplantae, Streptophyta, Magnoliopsida, Brassicales, Brassicaceae.